UUUUUUUUUCUUUUUUUUUUUUGUAUCAGAACUAGAUUGUGAUCAGGUUAACUUUUUCUAUACCCCUCCCCACCUCGAGGCAUUAGAGCUUCAGAGUUUGGGGGUGGGGGGCAUCGUGUAAUAAUCAGAGGCCAGGUCAAGAGAGGCACUCGAAAGCCAACCAUUAAGAAGAGGUUUCCCAGAGUUCCCAUUGUGGCUCAGCAGCAAUGAAGCUGACUAUAUCCAUGAAGACACGGGUUUGAUCCCUGGCCAUGCUCAACAGGUUAAGUAACCAGCGGUGCCAUGAGCUGUGAUGUAGGUCACAGCUGCAGCUCUGAUUCAACCCCUAGCCUGGGAAUUUCCAUGUGCUAUUCCCUAAAAAAAGAAAAAAAAAAAAGAGAGGUUCCCCCAGAACCUGGCCUCUCCCCUCACCUCUUCACAGGAUUUUUCAGUUACUAUGAAAUUCACAGGAUUUUUCAGCUACUAUUUCAGUUACUAUGGUUUUUAGAGACAGUGGAAGUAGGUGCUGGAAUCAAUCUUCUCCUUGCCUUUAGUUUCUGCAAACUCCAAUCCAUCCCCUGCACCAUAGCCAGAAGUAUUCUUUACAUUGUAAAUUUGACAAAGUAAUUUACUGCCUAAAACCUGUAAGUGUCUACCAGGUACCCUCCAAGACAGCAUUCACAAUCCUUGAGAAGGCUUUCAAAUCACUUGGCAAGCCAGCCCAAACAUACUCUCAUGCUUUAUCUCUGACCACACCUUCAUAGAGCGCUGCCAGAUUAAAUUAAGGACAAAGAGGGGAAAGAAAAAAAAAAGGCACACAGAAAACACACAAAACAGCUUUCCUUACAUUACCUGAGUCUAUGGAGCUCAGGUAUAAUCUGCAUUAAACUCAUUGCCUUUCCACCACCAUUCUAUUAAAUAUGGAUACCCCGAACGCUUGACUUUGCACUGGAUCAUCAACUUUUAAGGAUGGAAAAGAUGCCACGGAUUUUUCCGUGUUUUGUGAAACUCUGCACCUACUCAGUCUUUAGAAAUUCAGCUUUUUGAAACAUCUUUUUGAAAGAUGACCUGAAACUCCUCCUUGUCAUUAUUUUCCCACAUUCUUCUGAAGCUCGUGUUAGAUUCAGUAAGCAUGUAAUGAAUGCUGAGGCUUUUAUGCCCACCUAUUACUGGGGCUGAAAUGGAUUCUGAGUCAAAUCCUGAUCUGCUGUAGCCAGAGUGGGUGUUUAAGAGUGUUAUAUCAUGCUAUGGUAUCUGUGUUUCUAGGCCAACGGCAACCUGCUUUCACCUACACUCAAUUUGGCAAGUAUACAUCCAUUAAAUAAGAGUGGUCCUUGAACUUCACUUUCAUUCCCCAAGAGAAUCAAAGCCCAGAAAGCAAGAAACAUACAGAGAGGCUGACAACCUCAGCACCUCAAGCAUUUGGUAAAGACCGUGCUGGCGGACGAGCUCUAUAGAUGUGACAAAGCACACUCUUGCCAAACAAGCUCUGAAAACCAAGUAAGCAGAACUGGGACACGCUCUGUAACCAGUGUAAUGAAGGGCCCUGGGAUAAACAGGUGACCGUCUCAAGCCCAGAUACUUACAAUGAUGAAAGGAGAAACAUCUAUUCAAAGGAGAGAAAAGGCAAUUCCCAAAGUCAUGCCGAGCUAAGGAAAGACAUACAAAGUAGUAUCAGAAUUCCACAAUAUGCUACAGAAACUGUGUCGCAUAUGAUUAUGCUCAAGUCCAAGCCACAGGAUACAGUUCUCACUCUCCAGUUGUGACCUUCUCGAUUAAUCUUUGUCGACAUCUUCAUAAAAUCUUACAUGUUGUAAUAGACAUCUGCACUUUGCCGAACGAUAGAAAAAUCAAAUUUCUGGUCCAGAUUCUGAAAAUGUAUUAUAAUGGUCAGACCAGUACAUGACAGCAAUUCUACCCUUGGAUAUAAGGGAAGAUAAUAUUGCACAUUUCAUUCAUUCAACUCAUUCAACAAAUGUGUAUUGAAUCCAUGAUAAAUGACAAGUGCAUCUCUGAGUGCUGAGGAGAUACUACUAAACAAGAUCAGAAAAUAAAAUAAAUUGUUAUCCUAAUGGGGCUGUCAGAUAAUGAUGAGACAACAUUAUAAAAGAACAAGAUAAUUUCAGACUGUGAUAAAGAGAAUGAAGCAGAGUAUAUUGAAGAAAGCAAUGACAGCAAAUUUAGCUUGUAGGGUCAGGGGAGAACAACUUAAGAAAUAACAUAUCCGGAGCCAUGGAGUAAAGAGGAUUGCUUGUAGUAUCAAGGCUCAAGAGGGCUUGAGACAGGCCCAACAACCGUCUCUCUAGCCCACAGUGAAAAGGAACGCCUGCAGUUUCCCAAGAGAGUUGUAGAAGAUAGCUAAGAGAGUAGAGCCAGGAGACUAGGGGAAAAAACAAAAAACAAACACACACACACACAUAAUAAUGAUAACUAACUUAACAUCUCUGCAGCACAGCAGAGAUGUCAAUGUCCACAGAUAUUCCUGUAGCAUCUCCUCACUCUGGUGACUUUGGGAGGCUGCUACUGUUAUCUGCAUUUUAUAGACGAGGAAAAUAAAGCUGAGGGCUGCUGCACAACUUUUCCUUGGUCCCACAACUAACCAAUGGCAAGGCAAGGUCUGAAACAGAAGUGAGCAAGUGAAAACCUUCAGACUGAAGCCAGCUGGCCCCUGCUUAUCCUCAAAAAGUUUUAAUGGAACACAGCAUAUUCAUUCAUUUACAUGUUGUCUGUGGCUGUAUUCACUCUACAUUAGCCGAGUUGAACAGUUGCAACAGAGACGCUAUGGCCUACAAAGCUUAAAUUAUUUACUAGCUGACUUAUUACAGAAAAAAACAAUGUCAACCUGUGAUUUAGGACAAAAGUUUCUUAAUCCUGAGCCCAGUUUGUCUUCCUGUACAUGAUGCUGUAUGAACCUAUUUCAUGUUUAUUGAUCUUGACCCCUAACUAGACAAUCAAAUCCUCAAGAGAAGAGUCAUAUUUUAAAUGCCACAUCAUGGGAAGAGGGAAGGCAUAUAGUAGACAUUCAUUGUCUUGCUUUGGUUUAAACUAAAAAGAAAACAUGGGAAUUGAACAAUAUGAAUUAUUUACAUAUAUAUUAAUUUAGUGGUUAAUCCAAAUAUUCACUCAUCAUAUGCUCCCUACUUCAUUCAAAUUACAUUUUCAGCACUGAGAAAGAAGGACUAGUCCAUAUUUCUGUGAUGAUAAUGACAGGUAAAAUUCCUAAUCAGUGUUUAUUUCAUGAUGAGUACUAUUUCUCCAUCACAGAGUAGAAAGAAGACUGAAAUGGAAAAUUAAAGUAAGCAACCCUAUGUCCUAGAAAAGUAUUACCUUGAACUCUUAAAUAUGCAAAUUCUUCACUAGGUAAUUAUUUCAAAUACUUAAGCAUGCCACAAAAUAUGAUCAGUAAUUAAAAAACAAACAAACAAACAAAAAUACUUGGAGAUCCCAUAGUGGCUCAGUGUGUUAAGAACAAAACAUAGUGUCCAUGAGGAUGUGGGUUCAAUCCCUGUCCUCAUUCAUUGGGUUAAGGAUCCAGCAUUGUCACAAGCUGUGGUAUAGGUCACAGAUCUGGCUUGGAUCCAGUGUUGCUGUGUUUGUGGUGCAGGCCUGCAGCUACAGCUCUGAUUUGACCCCUAGCUUGGCAACAUUCAUAGGCUCCAAGAGUGGCCUUAAAAAGAAAAAAAAUCCUUCCUGCAUUCAUUAUUAUUCAUCAAUCAAUAUUAUUAAAUACCAUCCCAGCUAUCUACUAUUAUAUGAAAAAUGUUCCCAGAACUUAAAGCUUAAAAAAUAAUUAUUUUUAAAUUCUUUCUCAUACUUUCAGUGCUUGACUAGUCUCAGCUUAGUGGUUACACUAGACAACGGGUGGGAUAGGAGUUAUACUGAAGGCUUCCUCACUCACAUUUCUGGUGGUGGAUGUUGGACAUGGGUUGUGAUCACAGCUGGGGCUGUCUGCAGGAACACCUACCCGUAGGCUUGCUGUGUUCCCUGAGCUUCCUUACAAUGUGGUGCAUGGGCUCCAAGAGCAACAAGCCAAGAGAAGGAAGUAGAAGUAUCCAGUUUCUUACAGCCUGGGCCUGAAAACUGGAAAAGUGUCCCUUUUGCUAUAAUCUAUUAGAAGAGCAAUUACAAAAUCCUAUUCAAUUAAAUAUGUCAGGGAUUUUAUUUAAACCUCCCUCCACAGUUUGGUAUCCAACCUCAAUUAUGAACAUUACUCUCAGAUUCAAAAUACAUUCACUCACUCCCAAGACCAACAAUGUUACCACAUCAUGUCAUUAGACCAGCCUUAAGGUCCAAAUCUUUUCAUUUAAAUUGCCUCCUUGAGUGUGGCACCUUAAGUACAGAUCCUUGGAUUCUGGAUUCUCUCAAUCUAAAAACAUGUAAGCUAAAAAGACAACUUGUCUGACCUCCAUAUCCUCUGUUAUUUUGUACAAAAUAACAUCUACUGAUUAUCCUUUAGCACAAGGGAGUGAAACAAAGUACAUAGGGAAGUCACUGGCCCAUAGCAGUUCUGAAAUUUAGCUAGACAAGUGUUCCUUGAUUCUCAAGUACUGUUCUUAGCUCUUCUCCGGGAGUGGUCCUCAUAGCCUUUGGUUCAGUACUUGGUUCAUAGCCUCUUUCUCCAAGUCAUUCAUCCUUUUCCAUAAGAAGACUGACUUUACAACUAACCCAUCUUCUUAACCUGUAUCCUAAUACCCUUUUGUUUUGGCAUUGCCUCUAUUUUCUUGAGUCCUAAAUGGUGGUGCUUCCAUUAAAAAACUUAUUUUAAAAUAUUUGUGAAUUUCUCAUUGCACCUGACAUAGUUUUCCUCCAUUAGAAUAAACCAAGUCAUGCAUUUCUGUUGGAAGAGCUCUUUUCUACUUCAGGCGUCCUGUGAAGCUGCUGUUGGAAAAUAGCCUGAGUAUUAUCAGAAGCCCAGUCGUUUAACAGAGAUACUCUGCAAGGUGUUAUCUUACAAAUCCUUGGAUGAGUGCUCUUUGUUGGAAGAUUUUUUAUGAGACACUGCUUAGAUUAGUCUCUGGUCAGAGAACAGCCUGCCCUGUAUUUGGUCUUUGUCCAAAGCCAUUCUUAAUUGUAGGCUCAUUUGCUGUCUGGAGAGGCUAAGAAUGGGAAACAGCUUAAAUGUGGAGAGAAGCAAGUCUUACUUCUUUACAUUUAACUGUUUGUUGCUUAGCUCAUUUCUCUCCACUUACAUUUUACCAAAACACUGGCUUAAAAUCUUUGAGAUCAUCAGCUACGUUUCCUAAGUAAUACAUUGCUAUAUGUGCCUGCAUUACCCACUACACAAUUUCUCUUUCUUCCAGCUUCUAAAAACAUCAUUCUUACUUGUCUCUAAACCCUUACUGAAAGAUUUCUUGAGGUAUUUUAGGCUUUUACUGGAAGUCCCCUGAAGGUCCUUCUAGCUUCUUCUCAUUUCUUAAUCCCAGGGUUAAUUGCCACACAUAUUUUCUAAUAUCAGGACUGUCCAUUUGAUUCUAAAAUCUAUGUCCAAUAUCUAUGUAUUUCUAACAAAUCACACUAAAGUGUGUGACUUAAAUAGCAUGAUUUUAUUAUUCUCUCUAGAAUUCUGUAUAUUGACUAGGCUCAACUAUAAAUAUGCCAUGCAGAAUUCUCUAUAUUGAUUCCGAGAUCUCUCGGACGAUGUCAUUUGAAAGUAUCUCCAUUUCAAGUCCUUGCAAAGGUCUCCACACUCACAAGUCUAGUGGUAGAUGUAGGCUGGGACUUCAGAUGAAGUUGAUUGUUGGAUUCUGGCCUCAUCAGGUAGCUUGGGGUUCCUUCAUGCAUGGCUGAGUUCUAAGAGGAAGUUUUCCGAGAAAGAACAUGUGGAAGGUACCUUUACCUUAGCCUCAGAGCCUGGAAACUCUUAUGUGCCAUUCAUGUCAUACUCUUUUGGUUAUCAGUAACAUAGCCCG
Molecule: long non-coding RNA, 5888 nt
Filed under: Sus scrofa (pig)
Lineage: Eukaryota; Metazoa; Chordata; Mammalia; Artiodactyla; Suidae
Description: lncRNA (ENSSSCG00055018896.1)
Source: RNAcentral